GCUCCACUUGCUAGGCUGUGGCCAUGGGAAGAUGAAGAAAUCAUCAUCCGGGCCCUCAAGUUGCUCACUGUAUCAAUGGGAAAAAGAUCCACCUCAGGAGUACAGAGCACAUGGUGAGGCAACAUAGAAUGGGCAGAGCUGAAAUGAGCAUCAAGUUUGCUGGGUGUUUGUGGAACACUUUCUUUUACUACAAUGCCGUGUAUGUUACAUAGACAGAGAAAUAUUCUAUGGAGGAAUGCAAGAAGAUUAAAUUAAAAGAAGAUACCACCAGAUGACCCAGACUAAUCUUAUCUCAGGAUAAUUUACUUCAAAGGGAAAUUGGGAAGGAAUUUCUUGUACAAAAUUUAGGAUUUGGCCAGAAGAUCCGGAAGCAUCCAAAGCCUGAGGAAUGGCCGUUUUCAAACCCAGGACCAACUUUCUUCUGAGAAUGGAAGGCAGUCAGAACAGCUCUCCAAUAUUCUUUUCAUCUUUCACAUCGUUUUUGCUAUCCAAGUCCUCAAAACAUAAAGUACGUUAUAUUUCAAUUUUAAAAUUAUAAUAGUGAACAUGUCUCUAGUCAAGGAAUCACAAAGAUGAGUCAACAAUUUUCCUCAUUUCUUCUUUUCCCGUUGUAUUUAUUAACAAAAUAAAAACAAAAAUCCCACUAGCA
This 649-nucleotide long non-coding RNA is filed under the name Sus scrofa (pig). Its description in RNAcentral is "lncRNA (ENSSSCG00035035461.1)". The record is from RNAcentral. Lineage: Eukaryota; Metazoa; Chordata; Mammalia; Artiodactyla; Suidae.